RNAcentral lists this ribosomal RNA (497 nucleotides) under uncultured bacterium. RNAcentral's name for it is "partial 16S ribosomal RNA". It matches the Rfam family "Bacterial small subunit ribosomal RNA", at positions 28 to 507 of the family's 1533-position model. The record is from RNAcentral.
GAUGAACGCUGGCGGCGUGCCUAAUACAUGCAAGUCGAGCGAACAGAUGAGGAGCUUGCUCCUCUGACGUUAGCGGCGGACGGGUGAGUAACACGUGGAUAACCUACCUAUAAGACUGGGAUAACUUCGGGAAACCGGAGCUAAUACCGGAUAAUAUAUUGAACCGCAUGGUUCAAUAGUGAAAGACGGUUUUGCUGUCACUUAUAGAUGGAUCCGCGCCGCAUUAGCUAGUUGGUAAGGUAACGGCUUACCAAGGCGACGAUGCGUAGCCGACCUGAGAGGAUGAGCCGCCACACGGGAACUGAGACACGGUCCAGACUCCUACGGGAGGCAGCAGUGGGGAAUAUUCGACAAUGGGCGAAAGCCUGACGGAGCAACGCCGCGUGUGUGAAGAAGGUCUUCGGAUCGUAAAGCUCUUUAAGUGGGGAAGAAAAAAUGUAAGUUAAUACCUGCAUGUUUUGACGGUACCUAAAGAAAAAGCACCGGCUAACUACGUG